UGGGUAGUUUGACUGGGGCGGUCGCCUCCUAAAAAGUAACGGAGGUGUACAUAUGGUAAGUUUAUGUUGAAAUGUUCAACAAAAAUGCAUAAUAGCAAAUACUUGCUUGACUGUUAGAUAUAUAUAUCAAGCAGAGACGAAAGUCGGUUAUAAUGAUCCGGUGAUUCUGUGUGGAAAAGGUCAUCGCUCAACAGAUAAAAGGUACGCCGGGGAUAAC
RNAcentral lists this ribosomal RNA (217 nucleotides) under Trieres chinensis. RNAcentral describes it as "partial Bacterial large subunit ribosomal RNA". It matches the Rfam family "Bacterial large subunit ribosomal RNA", at positions 2262 to 2478 of the family's 2925-position model. The record is from RNAcentral. Lineage: Eukaryota; Bacillariophyta; Thalassiosirophyceae; Eupodiscales; Parodontellaceae.